AGGUUCAGAUCACUGAAGCUGUGGAUGGUAUUGAGACUCUAUGGGCUGGAAAAGCUUCAAGCUUACAUAAGAAACCAUAUAGAACUAGCAAAGCUAUUUGAGGAACUUGUUGCUCAAGACAAGAGGUUUGAGAUUGUCACCCCUCGGAAGUUCUCAUUGGUUUGUUUUCGCCUACUUCCACCCCCGAGUAAUGAAGAUUAUGCCAACAAACUGAACCAUGACCUGCUAGAUUCUGUCAACUCAACUGGAAAACUGUUUAUUUCUCACACGCUUCUUUCAGAUAGAUACAUACUACGCUUUGCAAUAGGGGCUCCACUGACAGAAGCGAGGCACAUCGUUGGAGCUUGGAAAGUUUUACAAGAUGAGGCUGCUACAUUGUUAAGUAAAUGUUAAUAUUAAUCCAUUAUUUCACGUCAUUAUUAAUUUACCACAUUAUUG
Molecule: unclassified non-coding RNA, 438 nt
Filed under: Hevea brasiliensis (rubber tree)
Lineage: Eukaryota; Viridiplantae; Streptophyta; Magnoliopsida; Malpighiales; Euphorbiaceae
Source: RNAcentral